UUACUGAGGAGUCCCAAAAUAGGACGAAACAGCUGUCCAG
This 40-nucleotide non-coding RNA is filed under the name Schistosoma haematobium. The record is from RNAcentral. Lineage: Eukaryota; Metazoa; Platyhelminthes; Trematoda; Strigeidida; Schistosomatidae.